GUUGACAGCCACGCCACCCUGAACAAGCCCGUCCCAUCUGAUCUCGGAAGCUAAGUAGGGUCUGGCCUGGUUAGUACUUGGAUGGGAGACCAUGUAGGAAGACCAGGUGCUGUAGGUG
This 118-nucleotide ribosomal RNA is filed under the name Pteropus alecto (black flying fox). Lineage: Eukaryota; Metazoa; Chordata; Mammalia; Chiroptera; Pteropodidae. The record is from RNAcentral.